This 392-nucleotide ribosomal RNA is filed under the name uncultured bacterium. RNAcentral describes it as "bacterial SSU rRNA". It matches the Rfam family "Bacterial small subunit ribosomal RNA", at positions 28 to 412 of the family's 1533-position model. The record is from RNAcentral.
GAUGAACGCUAGCGGCAGGCCUAAUACAUGCAAGUCGAACGGAGUAUAUGUUUUUUCGGAAUAUAUAGUUAGUGGCGCACGGGUGAGUAACACGUACAUAACUUGCCCUCAAGCGGGGGAUAGCCUUGGGGAAACUGAGAGUAAUACCCCAUAGAAUUAUUGGACGGCAUCGUUUUGAUAAUUAAAACUUACGGUGUUUGGGGAUAGAUGUGCGUCUGAUUAGCUAGUUGGUGAGGUAACUGCUCACCAAGGCGACGAUCAGUAGGGGGCGUGAGAGCGUGGCCCCCCACACGGGUACUGAGACACGGACCCGACUCCUACGGGAGGCAGGCAGUAAGGAUAUUGGUCAAUGGAGGGAACUCUGGAACCAGCCAUGCCGCGUGAAGGAUGAC